This 496-nucleotide long non-coding RNA is filed under the name Ananas comosus (pineapple). RNAcentral's name for it is "long non-coding RNA (ACOM_LNC005354)". The record is from RNAcentral. Lineage: Eukaryota; Viridiplantae; Streptophyta; Magnoliopsida; Poales; Bromeliaceae.
ACUCCAGGCAACUUAAAAUCUGAUAUAUUUCGCCGGAGCUCUCAGAGUAUCCGUUUGAGCUCAAAUUUGACAGUCAUAUUCGGUUUAACGUACCGAACAAGAAUAUACUUUAAGUUUUCAGUUUUGACCCCGUUUGGUCACCGAAAACUGUACCGAACUGUAAUCUUUAUCAGAUAGAUUUCGGAUUUUAUUUCUCAACUUUCGGGUGUCAGAAAAAUAUGAAACUUUAAAUCUAGCCUCAUAAAAAUAUUUCUGACUUAUCCUCCAAUUUUCAUAAUUUUCUGAGACUCUGUAUUUUUUGCUAAUUUAUCUGUCUCGUUUUCAACAGAAAAUUAUAAAUCUUCUGUUUUCAUUCCGAUUUCAGCACAAGUCAUUAUAGACUUAUACAUUGUUUCUCAAAAACCAAAUAAAAAUAGUAUCUCACACUAUUUUUAUUUACUUCUAUUUUUAUACCAAAAUCUGGUAUAUUACACUACAGCUCUUCUACACUAUUUGA